This 447-nucleotide ribosomal RNA is filed under the name uncultured bacterium. RNAcentral describes it as "partial 16S ribosomal RNA". It matches the Rfam family "Bacterial small subunit ribosomal RNA", at positions 29 to 523 of the family's 1533-position model. The record is from RNAcentral.
AACGAACGCUGGCGGCAGGCCUAACACAUGCAAGUCGAGCGCCCCGCAAGGGGAGCGGCGGACGGGUGCGUAACGCGUGGGAAUCUACCCUUGGGUUCGGAAUAACAGUUAGAAAUGACUGCUAAUACCGGAUGAUGACGUAAGUCCAAAGAUUUAUCGCCCAAGGAUGAGCCCGCGUAAGAUUAGCUUGUUGGUGGGGUAAUGGCCUACCAAGGCGACGAUCUUUAGCUGGUCUGAGAGGAUGAUCAGCCACACUGGGACUGAGACACGGCCCAGACUCCUACGGGAGGCAGCAGUGGGGAAUAUUGGACAAUGGGCGAAAGCCUGAUCCAGCAAUGCCGCGUGAGUGAUGAAGGCCUUAGGGUUGUAAAGCUCUUUUACCAGGGAUGAUAAUGACAGUACCUGGAGAAUAAGCUCCGGCUAACUCCGUGCCAGCCGCCGCAGUAA